GUGUGGUCUCUGAGGCCUCUCAGGUAGUGAUAUUUAGUGCAUGAUUAGCAUAGUGGCAGGAUGUAUCUUUGUCUGUUUUCCCUAUAAAUGGGGGAGCUUACUACUUGAGGAUAAGCUUACCCCGUCAUCUUCCACAAUGUCAUUGUGGUGUUGCUUUGUUGAAUGUCCGAAGAUUGUCAGUGUUCAUCUUAUCAUAAUCGUGAUCCUGAUGAAACU
Molecule: long non-coding RNA, 216 nt
Filed under: Elaeis guineensis (African oil palm)
Lineage: Eukaryota; Viridiplantae; Streptophyta; Magnoliopsida; Arecales; Arecaceae
Description: long non-coding RNA (EGUI_LNC022608)
Source: RNAcentral